GGUGGCUUAGUGGCUAGAGCGUCCGCCUCAAAAUCGGGAUGUCGUGGGUUCUAUCAACGGUCGAGUCAUACCAAAAACU
Potamilus streckersoni is the source of this 79-nucleotide non-coding RNA. NCBI's taxonomy places the organism in Eukaryota, Metazoa, Mollusca, Bivalvia, Unionida, Unionidae. The record is from the annotation of a GenBank genome assembly.